This 581-nucleotide ribosomal RNA is filed under the name uncultured bacterium. RNAcentral describes it as "partial 16S ribosomal RNA". It matches the Rfam family "Bacterial small subunit ribosomal RNA", at positions 355 to 1376 of the family's 1533-position model. The record is from RNAcentral.
UAAGGAAUAUUGGUCAAUGGACGCAAGUCUGAACCAGCCAUGCCGCGUGAAGGAUUAAGGUCCUCUGGAUUGUAAAACUUCUUUUAUCUGGGACGAAAAAAGGCGAUUCUUCGUCACUUGACGGUACCAGAUGAAUAAGCACCGGCUAACUCCGUGCCAGCAGCCGCGGUAAUACGGAGGGUGCAAGCGUUAUCCGGAUUCACUGGGUUUAAAGGGUGCGUAGGCGGGCAGGUAAGUCAGUGGUGAAAUCCUGGAGCUUAACUCCAGAACUGCCAUUGAUACUAUCUGUCUUGAAUAUUGUGGAGGUAAGCGGAAUAUGUCAUGUAGCGGUGAAAUGCUUAGAUAUGACAUAGAACACCUAUUGCGAAGGCAGCUUACUACGCAUAUAUUGACGCUGAGGCACGAAAGCGUGGGGAUCAAACAGGAUUAGAUACCCUGGUAGUCCACGCCCUAAACGAUGGAUACUCGACAUACGCGAUACACUGUGUGUGUCUGAGCGAAAGCAUUAAGUAUCCCCACCUGGGAAGUACGACCGCAAGGUUGAAACUCAAAUGAAUUGACGGGGUCAUAGCUGUUUCCUG